GAUGAACGCUGGCGGCGUGCCUAAUACAUGCAAGUCGAGCGAACGGACGAGAAGUUUGCUGUGGUGAUGUUAGCGGCGGACGGGUGAGUAAUACGUGGAUAACCUAUCUAUAAGACUGGGAUAACUUCAGGAAACCGGAGCUAUGACCGGGUCAUAUUUUGAACUGCAUGGUUCAAAGGUGAAAGAUGGUCUUGCGGUCACUUAUAGAUGGAUCCGCGCGGCAUUAGCUAGUUGGUAAGGUAACGGCCUACCAAGGCAACGAUGCAUAGCCGACGUGAGAGGGUGGUCGGCGACCCGGGAGCGUGAACGGCGACACGGCGCCUACGGCAGGCAGCAGUAGGCAACCUUCGGCAGCAGUCGAAAGCCUGACGGAGCAACGGCGAGCGUGUGGUGAAGGUCUUGGGAUCGUAAAGCUGUGUUAUUAGGGGUGAACCUCUGUUAAAGUAACAGUACACAUCUUGACGGUACCUAAUCAGAAAGCCCCGGCUAACUACGUG
RNAcentral lists this ribosomal RNA (497 nucleotides) under uncultured bacterium. RNAcentral describes it as "partial 16S ribosomal RNA". It matches the Rfam family "Bacterial small subunit ribosomal RNA", at positions 28 to 507 of the family's 1533-position model. The record is from RNAcentral.